UUUUACUGAGAUUUUUUUUUACUGAUCUGCUUUCCCCUUUGGCAAAUGUUACUUACUGUAAAGUUCUGCAAAGCUGACAUCUUUGUUCUGGAAGGCUCAGAGAAGCAAAGUGCACAGACAUUUGGCGUAAUACAGAGAGACAGGGAAGUUGCUGCCAAAACCCAGAGGUGCAGAGUGAUGCGUUCAAACCCUGACUCCUGCUGAGAGACACAGAGAGCGAGAGGAUUAAAGAAAGAGAGUGAAAAAGUGGGGUUGAUUCCUUGUGUUCAGCUGAAUGAACACGAUUCACUCUAAAUGAUGGCGAGAUGCAGAGAAAAGAGGGGUGAUGGAGUACGAGGAGUGAAACUAGUUUACAGGAAGCUGGAGUUCUCAUCUGGAGAACCAGAGCUGCUCAUUCCAGACAUAACUAAGCACUAUGAUGUAUACACCGUCUGUGCUGGGUUGCACAAUGUCGAGGAGAGGGGACGGCAUAACCUGGGUCAACUGUUAGUCAGCAAAAGUACGUAACCCCGCCGGUGUCUGCUGUAAUGCCAAGUUCACUUCCGAGCUGCAGAGAGGAGAGAAAGUUUGCAGGGAGUUUUCUGCAGCCUCCGUCUCUACUAGAAAGAACAGAAUGAAGAGGAAAUAAAUGAAUGAAUAAAAGAAA
Long non-coding RNA from Astyanax mexicanus (Mexican tetra), 646 nucleotides. RefSeq lists it as uncharacterized. The transcript is spliced from 3 exons. Lineage: Eukaryota; Metazoa; Chordata; Actinopteri; Characiformes; Acestrorhamphidae. The record is from RefSeq and is a predicted model, not a curated record.